CUAGUAGUACGGAAUAAUUGUUGGAAACGGCAACUAAUACCGCAUACGCCCUACGGGGGAAAAAUUUAUUGCUAUUAGAUGAGCCUAUAUUAGAUUCGCUAGUUGGUGGAGUAAUAGCCUACCAAGGCAAUGAUCUAUAGCUGAUCUGAGAGGAUGAUCAUCCACACUGGAACUGAGAUACGGUCCAGACUCCUACGGGAGG
This 202-nucleotide ribosomal RNA is filed under the name Wolbachia endosymbiont of Aedes albopictus. RNAcentral describes it as "partial 16S ribosomal RNA". It matches the Rfam family "Bacterial small subunit ribosomal RNA", at positions 130 to 348 of the family's 1533-position model. Lineage: Bacteria; Pseudomonadati; Pseudomonadota; Alphaproteobacteria; Rickettsiales; Anaplasmataceae. The record is from RNAcentral.